UCCGGUGGCAAUAGCGGAGGUUAAAAACCCGUUCCCAUACCGAACACGGAAGUGAAGCCCUCCAGCGCCGAUGGUACUGCUAUUGCGGGAGAGUAGGUCGCUGCCGGAU
RNAcentral lists this ribosomal RNA (109 nucleotides) under Thermoanaerobacterium sp. RBIITD. Lineage: Bacteria; Bacillati; Bacillota; Clostridia; Thermoanaerobacterales; Thermoanaerobacteraceae. The record is from RNAcentral.